Molecule: ribosomal RNA, 520 nt
Filed under: uncultured Glomus
Lineage: Eukaryota; Fungi; Glomeromycota; Glomeromycetes; Glomerales; Glomeraceae
Description: SSU rRNA
Rfam family: Eukaryotic small subunit ribosomal RNA
Source: RNAcentral
AGCAGCCGCGGUAAUUCCAGCUCCAAUAGCGUAUAUUAAAGUUGUUGCAGUUAAAAAGCUCGUAGUUGAAUUUCGGGGUUAGUAGGUCGGUCAUGCCACUGGUAUGUACUGGUCUCACUGAUUCCUCCUUCCUGAUGAACCGUAAUGCCAUUAAUUUGGUGUUGCGGGGAGACUGGACUGUUACUUUGAAAAAAUUAGAGUGUUUAAAGCAGGCUAACGCUUGAAUACAUUAGCAUGGAAUAAUGAAAUAGGACGUUCGAUCCUAUUUUGUUGGUUUCUAGGAUUAACGUAAUGAUUAAUAGGGAUAGUUGGGGGCAUUAGUAUUCAAUUGUCAGAGGUGAAAUUCUUGGAUUUAUUGAAGACUAACUACUGCGAAAGCAUUUGCCAAGGAUGUUUUCAUUAAUCAAGAACGAAAGUUAGGGGAUCGAAGACGAUCAGAUACCGUCGUAGUCUUAACCAUAAACUAUGCCGACUAGGGAUCGGAUGAUGUUAAUUUUUAAUGACUCAUCCGGCGCCUUAA